CCCCAGCUAGCUCUGCUGGUAGAGCAUGAGACUCAUACUCUCAGGGUAGUGGGUUCGUGUCCUAUGUUGGGCG
RNAcentral lists this transfer RNA (73 nucleotides) under Lepisosteus oculatus (spotted gar). It matches the Rfam family "tRNA". Rfam says of the family: Transfer RNA (tRNA) molecules are approximately 80 nucleotides in length. Their secondary structure includes four short double-helical elements and three loops (D, anti-codon, and T loops). The record is from Rfam by way of RNAcentral. Lineage: Eukaryota; Metazoa; Chordata; Actinopteri; Semionotiformes; Lepisosteidae.